This 49-nucleotide transfer RNA is filed under the name Galba truncatula. RNAcentral's name for it is "tRNA-Tyr". The record is from RNAcentral. Lineage: Eukaryota; Metazoa; Mollusca; Gastropoda; Lymnaeidae.
GAUGGCCGAUUUAAGCGAUAGAUUGUAAAUCUUUUUAAGACCUUGUCUC